GACGAACGCUGGCGGCGUGCUUAACACAUGCAAGUCGAACGGAAAGGCCCUGCUUUUGUGGGGUGCUCGAGUGGCGAACGGGUGAGUAACACGUGAGUAACCCGCCCUUGACUUUGGGAUAACUUCAGGAAAAUGGGGCUAAUACCGGAUAGGAGCUCCUGCUGCAUGGUGGGGGUUGGAAAGCUUCGGCGGUUGGGGAUGGACUCGCGGCUUAUCAGCUUGUUGGUGGGGUAGUGGCUUACCAAGGCUUUGAAGGGUAGCCGGCCUGGGAGGGUGACCGGCCACAUUGGGACUGAGGUAGGGCCCAGACUCCAACGGGAGGCAGAAGUGGGGAAUAUUGCACAAUGGGCGGAAGCCUGAUGCAGCAGCGCCGCGUGCGGGAUGACGGCCUUCGGGUUGUAAACCGCUUUCGCCUGUGACGAAGCGUGAGUGACGGUAAUGGGUAAAGAAGCACCGGCUAACUACGUG
This 468-nucleotide ribosomal RNA is filed under the name uncultured bacterium. RNAcentral's name for it is "partial 16S ribosomal RNA". It matches the Rfam family "Bacterial small subunit ribosomal RNA", at positions 28 to 507 of the family's 1533-position model. The record is from RNAcentral.